GAAAACUUGUAGGCGGCGGCGGCGAUAGUACGAAGGGGGAAGUCGUUAAUCGGAAUUGCUGUUCGGAAAGCGCUCGUAGGUGGUUCAGUAAGUUGGAAGUGAAAUCCCCGGGCGCAACCUGGGAACUGCUUUCAAAACUGCUGAGCUAGAGUACGGUAGAGGGUGGUGGAAUUUCCUGUGUAGCGGUGAAAUGCGUAGAUAUAGGAAGGAACACCAGUGGCGAAGGCGACCACCUGGACUGAUACUGACACUGAGGUGCGAAAGCGUGGGGAGCAAACAGGAUUAGAUACCCCGGUAGUC
This 300-nucleotide ribosomal RNA is filed under the name uncultured Bacillus sp. RNAcentral's name for it is "bacterial SSU rRNA". It matches the Rfam family "Bacterial small subunit ribosomal RNA", at positions 496 to 795 of the family's 1533-position model. Lineage: Bacteria; Bacillati; Bacillota; Bacilli; Caryophanales; Bacillaceae. The record is from RNAcentral.